AGUGAACGCUGGCGGUAGGCCUAACACAUGCAAGUCGAACGGCAGCACAGUAAGAGCUUGCUCUUACGGGUGGCGAGUGGCGGACGGGUGCGGAAUACAUCGGAAUCUACUUUUUCGUGGGGGAUAACGUAGGGAAACUUACGCUAAUACCGCAUACGACCUACGGGUGAAAGCAGGGGAUCUUCGGACCUUGCGCAAUUGAAUGAGCCGAUGUCGGAUUAGCUAGUUGGCGGGGUAAAGGCCCACCAAGGCGACGAUCCGUAGCUGGUCUGAGAGGAUGAUCAGCCACACUGGAACUGAGACACUGUCCAGACUACUAGGGAGGGCAGCAGUGGGGAAUAGGGGACAAUGGGCGCACGCCUGAUCCAGCCAUACCGCGUGGGUGAAGAAGGCCUUCGGGUUGUAAAGCCCUUUUGUGGGGAAAGAAAAGCAGCGGGUUAAUACCCCGCUGUUCUGACGGUACCAAAAGAAUAAGCACCGGCUAACUUCG
Molecule: ribosomal RNA, 490 nt
Filed under: uncultured bacterium
Lineage: Bacteria
Description: partial 16S ribosomal RNA
Rfam family: Bacterial small subunit ribosomal RNA
Source: RNAcentral